RNAcentral lists this long non-coding RNA (209 nucleotides) under Manihot esculenta (cassava). RNAcentral's name for it is "long non-coding RNA (MESC_LNC006647)". The record is from RNAcentral. Lineage: Eukaryota; Viridiplantae; Streptophyta; Magnoliopsida; Malpighiales; Euphorbiaceae.
CCCUUGUAUGUCCUGAUAGCCUAUGUGAGUCCAGGUGUGCCUGCUACGGCUCUACGCCCCUGGCACUAUGACAGAUUAUGGAAGUCCGGGUGUGCCUGCUACGGCUCUACGCCCCCGGCAUGUAUAAGUAAGAAAGAUAGGGGCUAAAUGGUGACAAGUUCAUCCUUGUUGUGAAAUGUUUGUGUUAUGGCGCAUACAUGAAAGCAUGA